Molecule: ribosomal RNA, 2753 nt
Filed under: Pseudomonadota bacterium
Lineage: Bacteria; Pseudomonadati; Pseudomonadota
Description: 23S ribosomal RNA
Rfam family: Bacterial large subunit ribosomal RNA
Source: RNAcentral
AAUCAGACGAAGAAAGGGCAUCUGGUGAAUGCCUUGGCAUUGGGAGGCGAGGAAGGACGUGGCACACUGCGAAAAGCCAUGGGGAGCCGUGAGCGGGCUUUGAUCCGUGGAUAUCCGAAUGGGGAAACCCCACCGUGAGGUGAUCACAUGCUGAAUACAUAGGUGUGUGAGGCGAACCCGGGGAACUGAAACAUCUAAGUACCCGGAGGAAAGGACAUCAAAAGAGACUCUGUGAGUAGUGGCGAGCGAAAGCGGAUGAGGCCAGUGGCUGCUUCUAAAUAACCGGAACCGUCUGGGAAGGCGGGCCAGAGCGGGUGAGAGCCCCGUACGGGUGAACCGGGAGCAGUCCUUGAGUAGGGCGGGACACGAGAAAUCCUGUCUGAACAUGGGGGGACCACCCUCCAAGCCUGAGUACUCCCCAGUGACCGAUAGUGAACCAGUACCGUGAGGGAAAGGUGAAAAGAACCCCGACGAGGGGAGUGAAAAGAACCUGAAACCGGAUGCCUUCAAGCAAUGGGAGCCCUUUUGUGGGGUGACCGUGUACCUUUUGUAUAAUGGGUCAGCGAGUUGGUGUGUGCAGCGAGCCUAAGCCGUGAGGUGGAGGCGUAGCGAAAGCGAGUCUGAACAGGGCGUUCAGUUGCACGUAUCAGACCCGAAACCGGAUGAUCUAUCCAUGGCCAGGCUGAAGGUGGGGUAACACCCACUGGAGGGCCGAACCCGUGCCUGUUGAAAAAGGCUGGGAUGAGUUGUGGAUAGGGGUGAAAGGCCAAUCAAAUCCGGAAAUAGCUGGUUCUCCGCGAAAUCUAUUUAGGUAGAGCGUCGUAUGAAUACCGGUGGGGGUAGAGCACUGGACCGGCGAGGGGGGCGCGAGCCUUGCCAAGCCUGACCAAACUCCGAAUACCAUCGAGUAGUGUACGGCAGGCAGACAUCGGGUGCUAAGGUCCGGUGUCGAGAGGGAAACAGCCCAGACCGCCAGCCAAGGUCCCCAAAUCAUGGCUCAGUGUGAAAGGAUGUGGGAAGGCCAUAACAACCAGGAGGUUGGCUUAGAAGCAGCCAUCCUUUAAAGAAAGCGUAACAGCUCACUGGUCUAUAUAAGCCGUCCUGCGCCGAAAAUGUAACGGGGCUAAAGCCAUGUACCGAAGCUGCGGGUGUAACCUGUGCGCUGCACGGGUUAUGCGGUAGCGGAGCGUUCUGCGAGCCGAUGAAGGGGCGGGGUCACCUGUCCUGGAGGAUGCAGAAGUGCGAAUGCUGACAUGAGUAGCGAAAAACAGGGUGAGAAACCCUGUCGCCGAAAGUCCAAGGGUUCCUGCGCACGGUUAAUCCGCGCAGGGUAAGCCGGUCCCUAAGGUGAGGCCGAGAGGCGCAGCUGAUGGGAACCACGUUAAUAUUCGUGGGCCUGCGGGAGGUGACGGAUCCUGAAGUGUGUACAUCCUUAAUGGAUUGGAUGUGCUGCAGAAGGGUUCCAGGAAAGAGCCCCCGCGUACAGACCGUACCCUAAACCGACACAGGUGGACAGGUCGAGCAGACCAAGGCGCUUGGGAGAAUGGUGUUGAAGGAACUCGGCAAAUUGCCCUCGUAACUUCGGGAGAAGAGGGCCCUGCGUGUGCGCAAGCGCAUGCGGGGGGCACAGACCAGGGGGUAGCGACUGUUUAUCAAAAACACAGGGCUCUGCGAAGCCGCACAAGGCGACGUAUAGGGUCUGACGCCUGCCCGGUGCCGGAAGGUUAAAGGGAGAUGUGCAAGCAUUGAACUGAAGCCCCGGUAAACGGCGGCCGUAACUAUAACGGUCCUAAGGUAGCGAAAUUCCUUGUCGGGUAAGUUCCGACCUGCACGAAUGGCGUAACGACUUCCCCGCUGUCUCCAGCACCAACCCAGCGAAAUUGAACUCUCCGUGAAGAUGCGGAGUUCCCGCGGUCAGACGGAAAGACCCUAUGAACCUUUACUGCAGCUUUGCACUGGUGCCAGGGAUUACAUGUGUAGCAUAGGUGGGACCCUUUGAAGCCGCGGCGCCAGCCGUGGUGGAGGGAUCAGUGAAAUACCACCCUUGUGUUCUCUGGCUUCUAACUCCGUCCCGUUUCCGGGACGAGGACCCUGCAUGGCGGGCAGUUUGACUGGGGCGGUCGCCUCCCAAACGGUAACGGAGGCGCGCGAUGGCAGGCUCAGGACGGUCGGAAAUCGUCCGGUGAGUGCAAUGGCAUAAGCCUGCCUGACUGCGAGACGUACAUGUCGAGCAGAGACGAAAGUCGGCCAUAGUGAUCCGGUGGUUCCACGUGGACGGGCCAUCGCUCAACGGAUAAAAGGUACUCUAGGGAUAACAGGCUGAUGACUCCCAAGCGUCCACAGCGACGGAGUCGUUUGGCACCUCGAUGUCGGCUCAUCACAUCCUGGGGGUGGAGCAGCUCCCAAGGGUUCGGCUGUUCGCCGAUUAAAGUGGUACGUGAGCUGGGUUCAGAACGUCGUGAGACAGUUCGGUCCCUAUCUGCCGCGGGUGUUGGAAUAUUGAGAGGAUCUGUCCCCAGUACGAGAGGACCGGGAUGGACGCACCUCUGGUGUACCGGUUGUGGCGCCAGCCGCAUCGCCGGGUAGCUAAAGUGCGGACCAGAUAAACGCUGAAAGCAUCUAAGCGUGAAACUGACCUCAAAACAUGUAUUCCCUGAAGAGCCGUCACAGACCAUGACGUUGAUAGGAGGCAUGUGGAAGCGCGGUAACGCGUGAAGCUGAGCCUUACUAAUCGCUCGUACGAGCCUGAUUGA